GAAGAAGAUGAAGCAAAGGGGAGAGAGAGAACCUGGUCAGAUAUUUAAAACCAGAUUUCAUUAAAGAUCAGAGCUCUUGUGGGGACAGGGAUCAACUAUGCAAAUAAUGGAAAUGAUCUUCUAUGACCUAACAAGACUAUUUUUGAGAAGAGGUCAUCAUCUGAGAUAACUAACAUGGGUGAAAUGCUGGAGAUGGACCUCACAUGGAGAGAUUAUACAAGCUGUAUGUGUGGAUCAUUUGUAUUUGUUAAGGCAGUCCAACUAGAAUGACUGAAUUUUGCUGCUAUAAGACAGGAAAGACAGAAACUAAUAAGGAGAAAAGAAGGCAGAGAAAUCCACAUAAUCAGACAUGUGAAAUGAAGACAUUUCAAGUAAGACUGAAACAGUUUUUAAAAUGAAGUUUGUUUGAUUUCUUCUUUUUUCCCCUU
Molecule: long non-coding RNA, 428 nt
Filed under: Anser brachyrhynchus (Pink-footed goose)
Lineage: Eukaryota; Metazoa; Chordata; Aves; Anseriformes; Anatidae
Description: lncRNA (ENSABRG00000018454.1)
Source: RNAcentral